GGGCCCGCACAAGCGGAGGAACAUGUGGUUUAAUUCGAUGAUACGCGAGGAACCUUACCUGGGCUUAAAUGUAGAGUGCAUGUCGUGGAAACACGCUUCCCUUCGGGGCUCUUUACAAGGUGCUGCAUGGUUGUCGUCAGCUCGUGCCGUGAGGUGUCGGGUUAAGUCCCAUAACGAGCGCAACCCUUACCGUUAGUUGCCAGCGGGUCAAGCCGGGGACUCUAGCGGGACUGCCACCGUAAGGUGAGAGGAAGGUGGGGAUGACGUCAAAUCAGCACGGCCCUUAUGUCCAGGGCUACACACGUGUUACAAUGGCCGGUACAGAGGGCAGCUACCUGGUGACAGGGUGCCAAUCCCGAAAGCCGGUCUCAGUUCGGAUCGAAGUCUGCAACCCGACUUCGUGAAGCUGGAUUCGCUAGUAAUCGCGCAUCAGCCAUGGCGCGGUGAAUACGUUCCCGGGCCUU
Molecule: ribosomal RNA, 464 nt
Filed under: uncultured bacterium
Lineage: Bacteria
Description: bacterial SSU rRNA
Rfam family: Bacterial small subunit ribosomal RNA
Source: RNAcentral